This 31-nucleotide non-coding RNA is filed under the name Mus musculus (house mouse). Lineage: Eukaryota; Metazoa; Chordata; Mammalia; Rodentia; Muridae. The record is from RNAcentral.
UAGGAAUCAGCCGGUUCUUAUGAUCUGUCCU